This 210-nucleotide unclassified non-coding RNA is filed under the name plant metagenome. RNAcentral's name for it is "partial contains small subunit ribosomal RNA, internal transcribed spacer 1, and 5.8S ribosomal RNA". The record is from RNAcentral.
UUUCCGUAGGUGAACCUGCGGAAGGAUCAUUCAUAAUAAAGUGUUUUAUGGCACUUUUUAAAAAUCCAUAUCCACCUUGUGUGCAAUGUUAGAUCUCGUCAAUCUUGGCGAGAUUUUUAUACAUCAACUCAUUCUUUAACUAAUUUGUCUGAAAAUAUUAUGAAUACUUAAUUCAAAAUACAACUUUCAACAACGGAUCUCUUGGCUCUC